CUUAUGUUAAUUGCAAACCUUCAUCAUCGCCGAACCACGACUUGUAAACCUUUAUUUCUGUCCAUCAUAUUACCAAGCUAUCUUAAUCAACAGUCUGUGCACAACAAUGACAUGGCAAUUUUAUACAUAAACUAAACCUUGUCAACCGCAAAUCUUUCAUAACACCAAAUAAUUCAAUAAUAAUAGCAUACCAAUGUUCAACAUAAACCGAACAUUCAUAA
RNAcentral lists this long non-coding RNA (221 nucleotides) under Ananas comosus (pineapple). RNAcentral's name for it is "long non-coding RNA (ACOM_LNC033097)". Lineage: Eukaryota; Viridiplantae; Streptophyta; Magnoliopsida; Poales; Bromeliaceae. The record is from RNAcentral.